Podarcis lilfordi (Lilford's wall lizard) is the source of this 76-nucleotide non-coding RNA. The record is from the annotation of a GenBank genome assembly. NCBI's taxonomy places the organism in Eukaryota, Metazoa, Chordata, Lepidosauria, Squamata, Lacertidae.
GGGCCUGGAUAACUCAGUUGGAUAGAGCAUGGUGCUGAUGACGCCUAGGUUGCAGAUUCGAUUCCUGUAUGGCCCU